Drosophila takahashii is the source of this 141-nucleotide non-coding RNA. The record is from RefSeq and is a predicted model, not a curated record. Lineage: Eukaryota; Metazoa; Arthropoda; Insecta; Diptera; Drosophilidae.
UCGUGUGAUCGUGUUUCCAAUAGCAACAGAUCUAGCAAAUUACUUGUGAUCUUUAGUAUACUGCCAGCUCCAUUUCAUGCAUUUACCACCCGCAUUUAUCACUCGCAUUUAACACAUACGAUAAAUACACGAUCAUCCAUA